UACGGAGGGUGCAAACGUUGCUCGGAAUCACUGGGCGUAAAGCGCACGUAGGCGGACUCUUAAGUCGGUGGUGAAAUCCUGGAGCUCAACUCCAGAACUGCCUUCGAUACUGAGAGUCUCGAGUCCGAGAGAGGUGAGUGGAACUGCGAGUGUAGAGGUGAAAUUCGUAGAUAUUCGCAAGAACACCAGUGGCGAAGGCGGCUCACUGGCUCGGUACUGACGCUGAGGUGCGAAAGCGUGGGGAGCAAACAGG
RNAcentral lists this ribosomal RNA (253 nucleotides) under uncultured bacterium. RNAcentral's name for it is "partial 16S ribosomal RNA". It matches the Rfam family "Bacterial small subunit ribosomal RNA", at positions 524 to 776 of the family's 1533-position model. The record is from RNAcentral.